Molecule: non-coding RNA, 181 nt
Organism: Caenorhabditis elegans
Lineage: Eukaryota; Metazoa; Nematoda; Chromadorea; Rhabditida; Rhabditidae
Source: Ensembl
ACGCCGGCCGUUUGAGUCGCUACACACCCGAAUUCGCAAUUGAGCGCGUCGACCACUGUGAGUUGGCAAGGCGAGACGAUGAAACAAAAGAUGGCAGAAAGAGCAGAGAACCGAGAGAAAGAGAGUAAAUAGAGAGGUCUUCUUCGUCUUUGUGCUUGCGUGCGUCUGUGUGCCCUCCGCG